Molecule: long non-coding RNA, 3494 nt
Organism: Aedes albopictus (Asian tiger mosquito)
Lineage: Eukaryota; Metazoa; Arthropoda; Insecta; Diptera; Culicidae
Exons: 3
Source: RefSeq, a predicted model, not a curated record
GUAAAAACUCCCGCGAACUACCAAGGGUCCAAAAAAAGUCGGAAGUCCAACUUUGACAAGACAUUUCUCGGCCGUUUUUCAACCGAUUUCAAAACUUUUUUUUGCGAUGGAACCGGACAGGUUUCAAGAUCAUCGUCAAUUGAAAAAAAUAUAAAAUAGAUGCGUCUACCCAAAGUUAUUAGGCAAAACGCACUUCCUAGUUUUUUUGAGAGUGCAUUUUUUGCGCACAUUGAUCAAUAAAACAAAAUUUAAAGCGAUGACAUAUAGUUUUUUCGACUCUAAAUCAUGCGUACAGCUAGAGUGAACAUGUUUAUGCAAAAGUAGUGAUUUUUCAGUACACUGAUAGUUUACCUACUCAAAAAACUGCUAAAAUACCCUAUUUUUCACAUAAAAUAAGCAAUAAAUCAAAAUUCAAAGCGAUGACAUAUAGUUUUUUUGGUCUUAAAUUGUUCGUAGGAUUGUACUCGACAUUUUUGAUGAACAAUGAAAAUGUUCUAAUUACACUCUUAUUUUGUUUUACCCGGAGAACUACGAAAAUUCCAUAUUUUUUACACAAAGUAGUCAACAAAACUAAAUUUAAAACGAUUACAUGUAGUUUUUUUAGCCUUGAAAUGUUUGUAGCAGUUUGGGGGACAUACUUAAAGAAUAAUAGUGAUGUUUUCAUUACACUCAAAUUUUUAUUCACUCAAAAAUCAACGAAAGUACCACAUUUUUCACGCAAAGUGCUUAACAAAAAUAAUGGCUUACAAUGCAAAGUAGUUUUUUACCUUUAAAUUAUUCGUGAAAGUGUACUGGACGUUCUUGAUGAGUAAUAGUGAUGUUUUCAUGACACACUUAAUUUAUUUUACUCGAAAAGCUACAAAUAUACCAUAAUUUUCAUACAAAACAGUCAAUAAAACAAAAUUUAAAGCCAUAACAUGUAGUUGUAUGGCCUUAAAUUUUCCGUUACAAUGUACUGGACCUGUUUUUGAUAAAAUGUUGAUGUUUACAUUACACUAAUAUUUUGUUUUAUAAAAAAAUUUACGAAAAUACCACAAAAAAGCGAAUAAGCCAAAAUUUAAAGUAAUGAAAUGUAGUUAUUCAACUUUGAAUUUAUCGUAUUUAGUGGGUUUAUUUGAACAAUUCUCGUGAAUUUUUUAUUACACUCAUAUUUUAUUUCACUCGGAAUACUAGGAAAAUACCACAUUUUUCACACAAAGUAGGCAACAAAUUAAAAUAUAAGGCAAUGCAUUCUGGUUUUUUGGCUUGAAUUUUUUCGUGAAAUGAUGAACGUUGAACAAUACCGCCUUCAUGACACUCUCAAUUCAUUUUACCAAACAAGUUUUUAAAAUACCAUAGUUUUCUUACAAAACAGUCAAUAAAACAAAAUUUAGAGCAAUGACAUGUAGUUGCUAGUCUUAAAAUUUUCAGUUGGAAUGUACUAGACAUGAAUUUGAUAAAAUUUUGAUGUUCAGAUCACAUCCACGUUUUGUUUUACUAAAAAAUCACGAAUGUGCCAUAUUUUUCACACAAAAUAGCCAAUAACAUAAAAUUCAAAACAAACACAUGCAGAUUUCUAUUACUGACUUUUUGUACCAGUUUCAGGUUAUCUACUUCCUGAAAAAAAUACAAGGCAAACCAAAAAUUUACCAGCGUUUUUUUUAUUUGUUUUUAUUUGAGUCCAUUUGCGUCUCCUGAACAUGCAGUAGCAAUCACCAAAAAAUAAACGGAAAUCCCGUGAAAAUGAAAAAAGUUACGAACUUAACUGGUUUCUAAAGUUAAGGUUAGGUUAUGUGUCUUUAUUGGAAAGAUUUUCAUCCUUCUUUCAUUCCUGUGUUACGUUUAAGUUUGUUUCGACACUAUGUUAGUUAGAACAUCGAAAUGAGAACACAAAAUAUACGCAGAAACAACAAUUAUUAUGCUGAAUCCGCCACGCACGUCAACAUCGUUUCGUUCAGUGUAAAUCGUUUCGAGCAUCAACGACCAAUUCAAAUAACCGUCAACAUAAAGGCCUUUCGCACAGCGGCGACGUAAAAGCAAGCGCCGCCAGACAAUGACGGUUUGAUUGCACUAACACAGCCGCAAAAACAGCAGCAGCAGAGCUCGAUCCGAUCGCCCGUUUUGUUUCACCGUCAGAUCAAUUGUCUCCGUCCGUUCGAUCGCAUUGGAAGCGACCACGCGAGUGAAAUUUGUUGCCUACCAAUUCCGCAUGGAAACUUCCUGCUGGCGAGAAAAAUAGCACGACGUACAACUAUUCUUGUGCUCCGCAGGACGACGGGACGAGUUGGCUGAAUUAGCCCAUUGUCAGCACGUGCGGGUUAACCUCCAAAAACGUUGGCCACACCGGAAUCCAGUUAAUCGGUCGGUUGGAAGAUAGAAUCGCCCACAGCACAUUGGAGAACAUCGGACCCGACGAGUUAAACCGACACACCGCUGGAAGCACCGCGUGGGGUGCGAGCGCACGAAAACGACGCCAUAUUGCCGGACAGUGCAUUUGCGCGGGACCAGAGGCCUUCCGAAGGAAGGCCUUCGUUUACACCUUUAUUUCCAGUUUCGCUUCGCGAGACGGAAGCAGUAGCGCGCAGCUCCAGCGGGCACUCCCGAUUACGGAUUCGACAUCGAGGUCGAGUGGACGAGACGAAAAUUCCCACUACGGUUGUGGAUUCGGCCGGUCUCGCUCGACAGGAACAAGAUCCGAGGAUAAACAGCGGAGGCCAGCGGCGAAUAGGGUAGCUCCGACAGAUUCCAUCCACGGAGUUGCCCGGGUCCGCUAAACGAACUGCGAUCAGGGUGACUGGACGUCACAUACGUACUCACUCCGGUCCGACAUCGACUGGGCGCUCUCGACGGUACGACGUGGCACGGUGAGAAGCACCGGUGGGCCAAAUUCCCGACGGUUCGAGGACGAGUACGAACAGCGAUGAUGGGUCAGCGGAUGACCAGUGCGUUGGCGGCGGAGCGGCAUGGGGGACGCCCCAAGAAGAUAAGUGCUAGCAUUUAAGAUCAUAUUUGGCGAUUGCCAACUCCAAAUGUUUAGCUAGUAAGCCAAUAAGCUAGAGAGGAAGAUGGGUAGACCCAAAUAUAUGUAUUAAUCUGCGAUUUGAUGUUUUUGUGGUUUGCGUUGAGCCUUUGCCCUUCAGUGUUUGCGGUUUUCGUUUUUUUUUUAAGCCUCGCUAACGGUAUCUUGCUCUAUCCGCUACCGGGGAACUUGCAACACCUGUUUCUUGGGAUUCCUUUUCAAAUUCGUCUCGGAGAUUCUUUCGUAUUCCUAUCGACGUUUUUACCCUGAAUUCAAACAGUUAUUUUCGGAAAAAUUCCUGGAGAAUAUUGCAGGAUUUUUAAAAUCCCAAUAUUGUCCUUGAAGGUUUUUAUGAGAAUCCUAUAGAUUUUCUUCCAGAGGUUUUCCCAUAUUUGCUCUCAGAGUCUCUCGUUGGAUUUUUCCUCCUGUUUGGGCAAAACAAAUUUUCGUGGAAUUUAUUCUCUUUUCUCCGGGAAUAUACAUCAGAUGUUGUCGU